UACAGAGGUGGCAAGCGUUGUUCGGAAUUACUGGGCGUAAAGGGCGCGUAGGCGGCCUUCUAAGUCAGACGUGAAAUCCCCCGGCUUAACCUGGGAACUGCGUCUGAUACUGGGAGGCUCGAGUGCGGGAGAGGGAUGCGGAAUUCCAGGUGUAGCGGUGAAAUGCGUAGAUAUCUGGAGGAACACCGGUGGCGAAGGCGGCGUCCUGGACCAACACUGACACUGAGGAGCGAAAGCCAGGGGAGCAAACGGG
This 253-nucleotide ribosomal RNA is filed under the name uncultured bacterium. Its description in RNAcentral is "partial 16S ribosomal RNA". It matches the Rfam family "Bacterial small subunit ribosomal RNA", at positions 524 to 776 of the family's 1533-position model. The record is from RNAcentral.